Molecule: ribosomal RNA, 776 nt
Filed under: uncultured Neocallimastigales
Lineage: Eukaryota; Fungi; Neocallimastigomycota; Neocallimastigomycetes; Neocallimastigales
Description: partial large subunit ribosomal RNA
Rfam family: Eukaryotic large subunit ribosomal RNA
Source: RNAcentral
AGAGAGAGACAUGCGCGCAUAUCAAUAAGCGGAGGAAAAGAAACUAACAAGGAUUCCCUUAGUAACGGCGAGUGAAGCGGGAAGAGCUCAAAUUUGAAAUCUUCAAGGUUUUACCUUGACGAAUUGUAGUUUAAAGAAGUGUUUUCUGCUGAAGUUUUGGUAAAAGUUCUUUGGAAUAGGACAUCAUAGAGGGUGAGAAUCCCGUAUUUGACCAUUAUUUUCAGCUUUGUGAUACACUUUCAAAGAGUCGGAUUGUUUGGGAAUGCAGUCCAAAAUGGGUGGUAAAUUUCAUCUAAAGCUAAAUAUUGGCGAGAGACCGAUAGCGAACAAGUACCGUGAGGGAAAGAUGAAAAGAACUUUGAAAAGAGAGUUAAACAGUACGUGAAAUUGUCAAAAGGGAAGCGUUUGACACCAGUGUUGUUUUCUCGAAAAUCAAUUAAAAAUGGCUCGAUUUUGUAUUGUCGAGACCUUAAAAGCUCACUGUACAUUUUUCGUGUCUUUUUUAAUGCACUUUUCGUUUAACAAGUCAACAUCAGUUUCUUUUGUUGUAAAAGGGUCAUUGGAAGGUGGCUUUCUUUUCGGAGAAAGUGUUUAUAGCCUUUGGCCUCUGCAAUCGAAGAGACAUGAGGUCUGCAGCGUAGACUCUUCGGGGUUAGAUACAUUUGUGCUAAGUUAUAGCUUUUUAUAGACAACUUGUUGACUAUAAUUAGUCUUGUAGCUUAGCUCGCUUAUGCUAUUUUACCUACGCUUAGGAUGUUGAAGAUGUAGCACAUCAU